AACGCGAAGAACCUUACCAGGGCUCGAACGCAGGAGGAAUACACCCGAAAGGAUGUAGCCAGCAAUGGCCGCCUGCGAGGUGCUGCAUGGUUGUCGUCAGCUCGUGCCGUGAGGUGUCAGGUUAAGUCCUAUAACGAGCGCAACCCCUAUUCAUAGUUGCCAGCAUAUUACGAUGGGGACUCUAUGAAAACUGCCUGCGCAAGCAGUGAGGAAGGUGGGGAUGACGUCAAAUCAGCACGGCCCUUAUGUCCUGGGCUACACACGUGCUACAAUGGCCGGUACAAAAGGCCGCAACUACGCAAGUAGAAGCUAAUCCCUAAAACCGGUCUCAGUUCGGAUUGGAGUCUGCAACCCGACUCCAUGAAGCCGGAUUCGCUAGUAAUCGCACAUCAGCCAUGGCGCGGUGAAUACGUUCCCGGGUCUUGUACACACCG
RNAcentral lists this ribosomal RNA (434 nucleotides) under uncultured bacterium. RNAcentral describes it as "bacterial SSU rRNA". It matches the Rfam family "Bacterial small subunit ribosomal RNA", at positions 958 to 1392 of the family's 1533-position model. The record is from RNAcentral.